RNAcentral lists this ribosomal RNA (253 nucleotides) under uncultured bacterium. Its description in RNAcentral is "partial 16S ribosomal RNA". It matches the Rfam family "Bacterial small subunit ribosomal RNA", at positions 524 to 776 of the family's 1533-position model. The record is from RNAcentral.
GACGUAGGGCGCGAGCGUUGUCCGGAUUUAUUGGGCGUAAAGAGCUCGUAGGCGGCUUGUCGCGUCGUUCGUGAAAACCCACAGCUCAACUGUGGGCUUGCGGUCGAUACGGGCAGGCUGGAGUUCGGUAGGGGAGACUGGAAUUCCUGGUGUAGCGGUGAAAUGCGCAGAUAUCAGGAGGAACACCGGUGGCGAAGGCGGCAUCCUGGACCAAUAUUGACGCUGAGGAGCGAAAGCCAGGGGAGCAAACGGG